Molecule: ribosomal RNA, 253 nt
Filed under: uncultured bacterium
Lineage: Bacteria
Description: partial 16S ribosomal RNA
Rfam family: Bacterial small subunit ribosomal RNA
Source: RNAcentral
UACGUAGGGUGCAAGCGUUGUCCGGAAUUAUUGGGCGUAAAGAGCUCGUAGGCGGUCUGUCGCGUCGAAUGUGAAAACCCGGGGCUCAACCCCGGGCCUGCAUUCGAUACGGGCAGACUAGAGUUCGGUAGGGGAGUCUGGAAUUCCAGGUGUAGCGGUGAAAUGCGUAGAUAUCUGGAGGAACACCGGUGGCGAAGGCGGCAUCCUGGACCGGUAUUGACGCUGAGGCGCGAAAGCCAGGGGAGCAAACGGG